UACGUAGGUGACAAGCGGUAUCCGGAAUUACUGGGCGUAAAGCGCACGCAGGCGGCUGAUUAAGUCUGACGUGAAAUCUCCUGGCUUAACUGGGAGGGGUCGUUGGAAACUGGUUGGCUUGAGGCAGUGAGAGGGGUGUGGAAUUCCCGGUGUAGUGGUGGAAUGCGUAGAUAUCGGGAGGAAAACCAGUGGCGAAAGCGGCGCCCUGGCACUGGCCUGACGCUCAUGUGCGAAAGCGUGGGGAGCGAUCGUG
Molecule: ribosomal RNA, 253 nt
Filed under: uncultured bacterium
Lineage: Bacteria
Description: partial 16S ribosomal RNA
Rfam family: Bacterial small subunit ribosomal RNA
Source: RNAcentral